AGGGCGUUGGCGAAAUUGGGGCUUCAGGGUUCUUCUAGGAUUUUCCUGCGUUGGCGAAAUUGGACGAAGGAGUGGUUCACAGAAGCAUCGCGAGGGUGUGGGAUCUUUGUGCUGGAAAGUUGGCGUUCGAACAGCUGGAAUCAUAGUGGAAUUGCGAUCUCGGUGGAAGCAGAGGGUUGUCAGGGGACGACAAGUUUGACGUCGUUUUUCACCAUGGAGGGAAAUUCGUUAAUGAUGGUAAACUGAAAUAUGAGGUUCUCAAUGCUGCUUUCUCUCCACAAUAGCACAUCACUGACACGCCCAAAUCUAUAGACCCACUUCCACCACAAAAGGACGCACUUGGGUUUUGAUUUCCCCCAACAUUGCAGGAUGAACACUGUCCACAAGACAUUUCUCCCAAACGCAGCAAGAUGAACACUGGGGUUUAUGGAUGAUUCAUUGCACUUAUAUAUAGCAAUUCUGAACUGUUUUU
Long non-coding RNA from Vigna unguiculata (cowpea), 472 nucleotides. Lineage: Eukaryota; Viridiplantae; Streptophyta; Magnoliopsida; Fabales; Fabaceae. The record is from RefSeq and is a predicted model, not a curated record.